RNAcentral lists this ribosomal RNA (522 nucleotides) under Triticum aestivum (bread wheat). RNAcentral's name for it is "partial small subunit ribosomal RNA". The record is from RNAcentral. Lineage: Eukaryota; Viridiplantae; Streptophyta; Magnoliopsida; Poales; Poaceae.
AUGUGGGCCCCGAUUACUGCCACCUUCCUCAUCUAUUGGCUCAUCUACCGCCCGGAUCGCUUCCACCCACGCACGGACUCCGCCGUCCUCGCCACCUUCCACAUCACCAACGACAGUCUCCGGUAUGACCUCGCCGUCGACCUCAGCUUCCGGAACACGCAGCGCGUCUCAAUCCUCUACCUGGACGUCGCGGCAUCCAUGUACUACAACGGUACCAGGCUUGGCCCCACCGACGACGCGCUCCCGAGCUUCCGCCAGGGACCCAAGAACACAAUUGUGUUACAUCCAGCGUUCAAUGGCGUGGUGACCGUGGACUCCGGCGUGGUGGCAGAGCUGGAGAGGGAGCGCGCGGCGGGGACGGUGCACCUGAGGGUCACCGUGUCGCUCACGCUCAUGUACAAGGUGUUGUUCAUCAAGGACAUCUUCUUCUACAAGUACGACUGCUGGCUCUGGUUCCCGCCGCCGAGCAACAGCACGCCGGUGCUCUUUUACGGCGACGGCACCAAGUGCUGGCGCAUUUGA